UCGUAGCUCAAUGGAUAGAGCAACGGACUUCGGAUCCGUCGGUUGGGGGUUCGACUCCCUCCGGG
This 65-nucleotide transfer RNA is filed under the name zebrafish metagenome. It matches the Rfam family "tRNA", at positions 6 to 65 of the family's 71-position model. From Rfam's summary of the family: Transfer RNA (tRNA) molecules are approximately 80 nucleotides in length. The record is from RNAcentral.